AAAACUGAAAAUCUCAAGAGGAUUCCAGGAAAUCAAAACAAUGAAUUAUUGAAUCAAGAAUUUGAAAGAGAAAAUAGAUGCAUACUGAAAAAAGAAUUUUGUUUAGUGAGAUAGAUGUAAUAAUGAAGGCAUGUUGAUAACGGGGGAGCUAUGUAUAUAUGAGGGGAGGGAUAUAUUGGAAAUCUCUGUAUCUUCCUCUCAAUCUUGCUGUGAUCCUAAAACUGCUCUAAAAAAUAUUUUGAGAAGGAAUAAUGAUGUGGUAAACAUGUUCUGUUAUUUAAAAAGAGAGACUUUUCAUAGCCGCCUCCCUCCCCCUCUACACACACACAGAGUCCUGUCCGUCUUCAUUCCCUUACUCAAUAAUUUGUACAGACACAGCCACUGGGCUCCAGUAAUCCUAAAGUUUCUAGAAAAUCAAGCACAGAAAAAGGUUAAAACCCUGAGGGAAUAAAAGAAUUCCUUUGCAUCCAUUGCAUUUCUCAGGAAGUGAACUAACAAAUUCACUGCUUUUAAAUGAGGAAAUUUUCUCAGUGAAAUUGAUUCCAAACCUUCGUUAGGUCAACUGUUCCCAGAUUUCUUAGCUGAUGCCUGAUCUGACUAUUCCUUAUCUUUAGUACAGAAACCAAGGUGAAUGACCUUUAAAAAACAUAUUAGACUGUUGACGUGUCUUCUAUGUUGUACUCUAGGUAAAAACGAUAAACCAGGAAAAAGAAAGUAAAAUUCAACCUUAGGCUCAUGGAUCCAGAGUGGAUAAUUAUGAGUCUGUAGUAUCUACAUGCAUGUGAUGAGGUUCAAGGACAAUAACCAUAAAGCAAAGACUUAAAAGGUUUUAUCAUUAGAAUAAUUGUAAUUCACUUGAUCUCUCAAUGUAACAAUACUUCGGUCUACUGUCUCAAGCCAUUAUUAUGUCUUACACUCAGCAUAUUGGUUUGUCUACCAUUAAAUAUUUAUUUUCUACAGUGCUUUCUGGAAGGCAAACAAAGCAGCCACUCUGCUACUUUAUAUUGAUUCCUGAGUUGUCCUUCGGAAACGCUUUCAGGAAGUUUAAUAGGUUUGAAAGAUAUUUAGACCUGUGACUGGCAAAUAUACUUCCUUCUUUUUAUUUCAAUAAGAGAGUACUAGAACUUAGAUCUUUAUUGUUUAAUCUAGUCAGUGCUGUCAUUGUCAAUCAAGUUCUCAAAUGACACUUGUCCUGAGCUGUAACUGAUCUAUUCAGAAGAAUAUGAAAAUAGUAAAGACGGCAACUAUGCAUGUUUUUACCGGACACGAUUUUAAUUGCUUUAAAAUGAAGUUAUGCAACCAAUGAGGAAUGGAGCUUUUGGAGUGGCCUGAAGCUAAAGGUUUCAGGUGUAUUUUUGCUUUCUUUGAAGAAAGAACCAAAUCAUUUUAUUUAAUAAAAAGGCCAUUUAUCAAGAAUUUCUUAAAGCUGUUUUAAACCUGAGUUUGCAAUUUAUAGAAUAUGUUCAAGCAGCCUCAGUGCCCUUUUAAUUGGAUGGUUUUCACAGAUUUAUCCAAUUUGAGAUUUAUCCAGUGAGAAUUCCCUUUGUUCAAGUAUAUAUGUCUUCUCUUCCAUAAAGCAGAUUCAAAUGAAAGAGUGCAAUCUGAUAUAUCAGACAUGUCAGUUAUACAUUUGAUGUGGUAAAUUUAUAAGAGAGGCCAAUUAUUGUUAUGAAAAAAUACAAUGAAAUACAUGAUAGUCAUUUACUGUUUUUAUAACUAAUCUAAAAGUAUUUACUAAAAAGAAACUAUUUCUUUUCAUAUGUACUUUACUUUUUACUUUAACCCUUCAUAUGUCCUUUAAAUAAAGAGAAGAAAAAAAGUCAUUUAUAUUUAUCCACAUAUUUUCUAUUUCAGGUGGUCCUCAUUCAUUCUUGUAGAUCCAAGUUACCAUCUGUUAUUAUUUUCUUUGUCACCUGAAGAAUUUUCAGAACUAUUUCUUCCUAUAUGUAGCAUGUAUAGAUACUCUAAAAAGUCCAUUAUAUGAUGUAUAAAACAAAGCAUACAAUGUAGUCUCUGC
RNAcentral lists this long non-coding RNA (2017 nucleotides) under Homo sapiens (human). RNAcentral's name for it is "non-protein coding lnc-PCM1-4:11". Lineage: Eukaryota; Metazoa; Chordata; Mammalia; Primates; Hominidae. The record is from RNAcentral.